Molecule: ribosomal RNA, 489 nt
Filed under: uncultured bacterium
Lineage: Bacteria
Description: partial 16S ribosomal RNA
Rfam family: Bacterial small subunit ribosomal RNA
Source: RNAcentral
UGAACGCUGGCGGUAGGCCUACCACAUGCAAGUCGAACGGCAGCACAGUAAGAGCUUGCUCUUACGAGUGGCGAGUGGCGGACGGGUGAGGAAUACAUCGGAAUCUACUUUUUCGUGGGGGAUAACGUAGGGAAACUUACGCUAAUACCGCAUACGACCUACGGGUGAAAGCAGGGGAUCUUCGGACCUUGCGCGAUUGAAUGAGCCGAUGUCGGAUUAGCUAGUUGGCGGGGUAAAGGCCCACCAAGGCGACGAUCCGUAGCUGGUCUGAGAGGAUGAUCAGCCACACUGGAACUGAGACACGGUCCAGACUCCUACGGGAGGCAGCAGUGGGGAAUAUUGGACAAUGGGCGCAAGCCUGAUCCAGCCAUACCGCGUGGGUGAAGAAGGCCUUCGGGUUGUAAAGCCCUUUUGUUGGGAAAGAAAAGCAGCAGGUUAAUACCCCGCUGUUCUGACGGUACCCAAAGAAUAAGCACCGGCUAACUUCGU